UGUGCUUCCCUGGGAUGUAUCCCAAGUCUAUACCAAAUUUCAUCAAAAUCGGUUCAGCGGUUGGGCCGUGGAAACGUAGCAGACAGACAGACAGACUUUCGCAUUUUUAUUAUUAGUAUGGAUUGCUAUAAAAAACCUGAUUUUUCAUGCAGUACUCAAUUGUGUGAGAGAGUAAGUAUAGUAUCGCAUACUAUACUUAUCCCUCUCACACGAGAUGAAAUGAUUAGCGCCUCGCUCCUCAAUUCGUUUCUUACUAAAUGGCACGCGUUAUAAUACAUUUUCAAGGUUUACUUCAUACACAUUUUAUAUUAAAUACUGAACUAUACAUAUUUUAACUAUACCAA
Maniola jurtina (meadow brown) is the source of this 344-nucleotide long non-coding RNA. RefSeq lists it as uncharacterized. NCBI's taxonomy places the organism in Eukaryota, Metazoa, Arthropoda, Insecta, Lepidoptera, Nymphalidae. The transcript has 3 exons. The record is from RefSeq and is a predicted model, not a curated record.